GACGAACGCUGGCGACGCGCUUAACACAUGCAAGUCGAACGGAAAGGCCUGCUUUCCCUUGUGGAUUGCGGGUACUCGCGUGGCGAACGGGUGAGUAACACGUGAGUGAUCUGCCCCCAACUUGGGUAUAAGCCUGGGAAACUGGGUCUAAUUCCCGAUAGGACUGCAGGGUGGUGCCUGUGGUGGAAAACGAUUUUCUAGUGGUUGGGGAUGAGCUCGCGGCCUAUCAGCUUGUUGGUGGGGUAAUGGCCUACCAAGGCGGCGACGGGUAGCCGGCCUGGGGGGGUGGACGGCCACAUUGGGACUGGGGUACGGCCCAGACUCCUACGGGAGGCAGCAGUGGGGGAUAUUGCACAAUGGGCGGAAGCCUGAUGCAGCGACGCCGCGUGGGGGAUGACGGCCUUCGGGUUGUAAACUCCUUUCGACCGCGAGGAAGCCACCUGGUUGGAAGGGUGGUGACGGUAGUGGUAGAAGGGGCACCGGCUAGCUACGUG
Molecule: ribosomal RNA, 494 nt
Filed under: uncultured bacterium
Lineage: Bacteria
Description: partial 16S ribosomal RNA
Rfam family: Bacterial small subunit ribosomal RNA
Source: RNAcentral